CCUACUGGAGGCAGCAGUGGGGAAUAUUGGGCAAUGUGCGCAAGCCUGACCCAGCAACGCCGCGUGAAGGAAGAAGGCUUUCGGGUUGUACACUUCUUUUGUCAGGGACGAAUCAAGUGACGGUACCUGACGAAUAAGCCACGGCUAACUACGUGCCAGCAGCCGCGGUAAUACGUAGGUAGCAAGCUUUAUCCGGAUUUACUGGGUGUAAAGGGCGUGUAGGCGGGACUGCAAGUCAGAUGUGAAAACCACGGGCUCAACCUGUGGCCUGCAUUUGAAACUGUAGUUCUUGAGUACUGGAGUGGCAGACGGAAUUCCUAGUGUAGCGGUGAAAUUCGUAGAUAUUAGGAGGAACACCAGUGGCGAAGGCGGUCUGCUGGACAGCAACUGACGCUGAGGCGCGAAAGCGUGGGGAGCAAACAGGAUUAGAUACCCGUGUAGUC
Molecule: ribosomal RNA, 443 nt
Filed under: uncultured bacterium
Lineage: Bacteria
Description: partial 16S ribosomal RNA
Rfam family: Bacterial small subunit ribosomal RNA
Source: RNAcentral